CAGAUGAUUAGGGUGAAGUCGUAACAAGGUAGCCGUAGGAGAACCUGCGGCUGGAUCACCUCCUUUCUAAGGAA
RNAcentral lists this ribosomal RNA (74 nucleotides) under Weissella confusa. RNAcentral's name for it is "partial 16S ribosomal RNA". The stretch from base 1 to 66 matches the Rfam family "Bacterial small subunit ribosomal RNA", at positions 1468 to 1533 of the family's 1533-position model. The record is from RNAcentral. RNAcentral also lists the same sequence under 2 other names. Lineage: Bacteria; Bacillati; Bacillota; Bacilli; Lactobacillales; Lactobacillaceae.